This 77-nucleotide microRNA precursor is filed under the name Podarcis lilfordi (Lilford's wall lizard). Lineage: Eukaryota; Metazoa; Chordata; Lepidosauria; Squamata; Lacertidae. The record is from RNAcentral.
UAUAUAUAUAGUGUGUGUGUGUGUGUGUAUAUAUACACACACACACACACACACACACACACACAUAUAUACAUAUA